Molecule: non-coding RNA, 50 nt
Filed under: unclassified sequences
Source: RNAcentral
ACGUCGAGACUGCGUCGAAUUUGCAGGUUUGAGUUCACUCAACUCGACGU